RNA transcript from Glycine soja, 910 nucleotides. It is a transcript of the gene named mitochondrial-processing peptidase subunit alpha-like, with no coding region annotated. The transcript has 5 exons. The record is from RefSeq and is a predicted model, not a curated record. Lineage: Eukaryota; Viridiplantae; Streptophyta; Magnoliopsida; Fabales; Fabaceae.
UUUUAAACACAUUCUUUGCCUUGCUCUAUUUUCCCAUUUUUUUCCUAAAUCAUGCACACAUAUUGGCUGAUAAUAUUAAUGUAUUGUUGCAGGCUUUAAUAUGUCGAAUUGGUUGCCUUGAGCAGCUAGUGUUAACAUGCAAAGCCGGGUGGGGAUUCCGAUGAUAUGUCGGCUGAGGUUGUCAAGAAUUCUUGGAAAAAUGAGCAAAGGAAUCAAUCGUGAUUAGCAAAGGGGAGGGCUCUGAUUUUGUGGCAAAAGCUAUGGAUUUAGCAGCCAGAGAAUUAAUAACAAGUGCAUCACUAGGACAAGGUUUGAUCUGCGUUGCUUUUUGUCUCUUGCUGUGAAUCCUGAUAUGUGCCAAAUUAAAUAUAGGCUUCCUGCAAUGGUAGUUACACAGGUACAGCUUGACCGUGCCAAGGUAUCCACGAAGUCUGCAGUUCUAAUGAAUUUAGAGUCCAGAGAUAUCAGAAGAGAGCUUGGAAUGGAAAUAAUUGAGGAACAUACGGUGAUGAAAUAUUCUAAGGUCAACAAGAAAUGUGAAAAAUGUGGCCAUGGGGAAGCUACCUAUUAUACUAGAUAGAUGAGAUCAGCAGACAAAGAGCAAACUACUUUCUACACAUGUACCGGCUGUGGUCAUCAGUCUCAGGAGAAUUAGUGGUUUACUUUAAGGUUAUGCUUAGUUUGGGAGAGAAAAGUGGAAGGAAUAAGAAAGAUAAAGAGUGAAAACUGAGAUGAUUUUUUGGUAGGAGAGAAAAUGAAAACAAAGUUAAUUUUUCUUCUUCUUAUUUGAUUGUGUAUAAAGAAAAAAAAAGCAUGUAGGUGAAAUGUAAUAAAUACUUAAAACUUGGAAUCAAAUGUAGCAAUUAAUCUUUUCAUAAAAAAAAAUAUUUACAAGAUUUUUUUUUUGUGC